Molecule: long non-coding RNA, 353 nt
Organism: Sceloporus undulatus (fence lizard)
Lineage: Eukaryota; Metazoa; Chordata; Lepidosauria; Squamata; Phrynosomatidae
Exons: 2
Source: RefSeq, a predicted model, not a curated record
AGAAACAUGCCAAAAGCCAUUUGAAGAGAAUGUUGUCUUUGAGACAACCCAAUCGGUUUUCUUGUUCAAGGAAACACUUCACUAUGAAUGUAAAGAAGGUUUUCAAACCAUGAAAGAGACCAUAGAUGACCGCAUCCAAUGCACAGAAAAUGGAUGGGAUCCAAAGCCUCUAUGUCUGUCUAUAGAAUGUGAUGUCCCCCUUCUGGAGCAUGGAAAUAUUCAUCCAAGGACAGAGAAAUAUGUGAACAGAGAUGUGGUGAAAUUUUCCUGUAACAAAGGAUACACAAGGGUUGGGCCUGAUGCUGCUCAGUGUUAUCACUUUGGAUGGUCUCCACAGCUUCCAGUUUGCAAAG